AGUGAACGCUGGCGGUAGGCCUAACACAUGCAAGUCGAACGGCAGCACAGUAAGAGCUUGCUCUUACGGGUGGCGAGUGGCGGACGGGUGAGGAAUACAUCGGAAUCUACUUUUUCGUGGGGGAUAACGUAGGGAAACUUACGCUAAUACCGCAUACGACCUACGGGUGAAAGCAGGGGAUCUUCGGACCUUGCGCGAUUGAAUGAGCCGAUGUCGGAUUAGCUAGUUGGCGGGGUAAAGGCCCACCAAGGCGACGAUCCGUAGCUGGUCUGAGAGGAUGAUCAGCCACACUGGAACGGAGAACCGGUCCAGACUCCUAGGGGGGGCAGCAGUGGGGAAUAUUGGACAAUGGGCGCAAGCCUGAUCCAGCCAUACCGCGUGGGUGAAGAAGGCCUUCGGGUUGUAAAGCCCUUUUGUUGGGAAAGAAAAGCAGCAGGUUAAUACCCCGCCGUUCUGACGGUACCCAAAGAAUAAGCACCGGCUAACUUCGU
RNAcentral lists this ribosomal RNA (491 nucleotides) under uncultured bacterium. Its description in RNAcentral is "partial 16S ribosomal RNA". It matches the Rfam family "Bacterial small subunit ribosomal RNA", at positions 29 to 506 of the family's 1533-position model. The record is from RNAcentral.